UCUGUGUCCCUGUGCAGUACACAACCCCAGCACUGCCUGAAAAAGCAAAUCCCUUUUUUCCUUACACACAAGGCUGGGUUCUCCCUCUGACCUGCCAGGGCUUGGCUUUGAAUUUUCAUGUGAAUCACAAGGUACAAGGUUAGCUGGUUCCAGACAAGGUCACUUCCAUGCACGGCAGCAGCAGUGGGAGUGAGUAACCUCCUAUCCAUCCACAGCUCUUGCUUCUAUUUAUCCAUAGUUUUAUUGAAGAAUUCUUCUCCUCCACACAGACAAAUCGAGCUGACAUCCUGAGAGGUGAUUUUCCUCUUGAAACAAGUACCCAGAAUCUGGUGUCAUCCACAGAGACUAGUAAAUAGAGUUCACACUGCUGCAGAGCUGAGAGCAGCCUUGUGCCAUGUGCAAGUUUGCUUCUAACAAGUUAGCCCUGCUCGUGGAGAUCAAACGCCCUUUAUCUGAACCGACAGCAGUGUGCCAGAACCAGGCAGUACAGCACAGCAUAAUACAACGUGACAGCUAAAUCCAAAGGAAAAGACAGUUCUCCUACAACAAUUAACCACUCUGGAUACUUGGAGUGCUCUGGAGUUACAGCAGCAAUCAAGGAGUCCCCAUAGCAGGCCUGUCAGCUGCAGCGAUGCCCAUCUUUUUUGAAGGCUCAAAGCCAUGCUGCUGGUGC
Cyanistes caeruleus (blue tit) is the source of this 673-nucleotide non-coding RNA. Lineage: Eukaryota; Metazoa; Chordata; Aves; Passeriformes; Paridae. The record is from RefSeq and is a predicted model, not a curated record.